RNAcentral lists this ribosomal RNA (254 nucleotides) under uncultured Pseudomonas sp. RNAcentral's name for it is "partial 16S ribosomal RNA". It matches the Rfam family "Bacterial small subunit ribosomal RNA", at positions 1129 to 1382 of the family's 1533-position model. The record is from RNAcentral. Lineage: Bacteria; Pseudomonadati; Pseudomonadota; Gammaproteobacteria; Pseudomonadales; Pseudomonadaceae.
GUGGGCGACUCCUAAGGAGACUGCCGGUGACAAACCGGAGGAAGGUGGGGAUGACGUCAAGUCAUCAUGGCCCUUACGGCCUGGGCUACACACGUGCUACAAUGGUCGGUACAAAGGGUUGCCAAGCCGCGAGGUGGAGCUAAUCCCAUAAAACCGAUCGUAGUCCGGAUCGCAGUCUGCAACUCGACUGCGUGAAGUCGGAAUCGCUAGUAAUCGUGAAUCAGAAUGUCACGGUGAAUACGUUCCCGGGCCUU